UCCAUUAGAAUUCCUUUCAUCAGACUUGAUGAUUUCCUUUCCUUUUUCCCUAAAAAACCCUAGCAUUAGGGUUUCCAAUCUUCCCACAGCAGUCUCAAUUGCAAUUUUAUUCUCGGCAGCAUCUUUCUUGAUUCCUUCUUGUAACUUCUUGAAGUCCUACUUCAGAAUUUCCAUUUCCUUCCUGGUCUCCCGAGAUUCCCCUUGCAACAGAUCCAACCUUUCUUCCAUUUGUGCCAUCUUAACAGCAUCUUGACCCACCACUGCUGAUUUAGUCAUGAUUUGCGACACCAAGGAACCAGAUUGCAGAUGAAUCUACCCAGUUUUCAGGCUCUGAUACCAAAUGUUAGGUAGAAACCCUAACAAUAGUUAUUUCAGAGUUGAAAUUAAGAGAACAGAAAAUUAGAAGAAAAAGAGAGAGUGUCGAGAAUUGUAAGAAAGAAGAUAAUAUUUCAUUGAGAA
RNAcentral lists this unclassified non-coding RNA (459 nucleotides) under Hevea brasiliensis (rubber tree). The record is from RNAcentral. Lineage: Eukaryota; Viridiplantae; Streptophyta; Magnoliopsida; Malpighiales; Euphorbiaceae.